UCCCAUUGAAGUUGAGGACGAAAUCUUUUCUGUCACACACUGGAGUAGAGUGAUGCUGGUAACGGGGCAGUCCCACUGAAAGAAGAAAGAAAAAAAAACCUCUUCAGAAACAAAGUCAUCCAGUGGAUGGCAGGGUGUCUUAUUUUGCCUCAGAGUACAAAAGGUGCUGCUGUGCCUUUUAGUAAAUUGCUAGACAGCUGGUAGAGAAAGCCCAGCUUUAGAAGUAGCUCAAACACACCAACUGCACGUCAUAGAAUUGCUUUGGAAUCAUUAUGUUUUGUUUUGAUGCUCGCACAAACACAGAGCAAGUUCCCCCUCGAGGGGGAUUCUUAUGUCCUGGAAUUCCAAUUUUAUUCUCUGAGGCUGGGGCGUGCACUUUAAUCUCAGAAUGAGCACAGGUACCGGACAACUAGACCCAGACUCUGGUUCCGGGUCUCUCCCGGCAGAGCUCCUGGCCUGUGCUGCCCUGAGCCCUGGCUUCAGGGAGGGCCAAGCACCCUACCCCAGAAACACCACUGCGGCCUUCUUUCUGAGCCUUGUUUCCCAACUAACUGGGCCGGUCACAGCAGCGAGCGCAGAGGACUCCCUGUGCCAAAGGGGACGAUAGAAAACAACCCAAUCGCAAGAUGAAGGGAUGGGGCAGAAAAGCACGCCUCUUCUCCUGCCCCUCCGCAGGCAUCUUCGUGGGUCCCGAACGUCUUAGACUUCCUCUAGAGAAGCCGGGACUUCAGGGCGCAGAGAAAUGCCCUUUGGUCCGAAGCAUCUGGCAGCGCGAGGAGUCCCUGAGGUAGCCCCAGGCUGGAGGGGGACAGAGAAGGCCUGGACCCUGCUCUCCCGGGGCGGCUCCCCGGUCCCCGGCCUGCACCGGGCCGCUUGACCUCCACCCGCCGCCGGCUUUUGCUUUUGCUUUCUCGGCGCCUCCUGGCCCCGGGGCGCAAUCGGCCCGCAGUGCCCUGCGCACUGGGCCCCAGAGGCUGCUGGACCGGGCCCUCUCGGCACCGGGCUGCGUUAGGUCCAUUCGCCCGGGUCUUUUCUUAGUUAACCGAGUGGUGUGGGGACCAUAAAGUGCACGUCGCUUCGGGCCGGAUUCAGUUUUUCAGUGCAAGAAAACCGUAACCACGGCCCGCCGGGCUCGGGCCCUGCUCUCGUGGCCUCAGCCCCGCCGUGUCCCCGCAAUGCCGGAGCGAGGCGGCUGCUCAGGGGCCGCUGCCUACUUCCUUGCCCGCAACACCUACCCGAACACACCCGGCGCUGCGCUAACGCAGCUGCCCUGUCCCGCGAGCCCCGAUGUGUGCGCGGCGCUCUGCACACAGGUGAGUUCCCUCGUCGCGUUAAAGCAAGUUCUGAUGGCAAGUCCUGGACCACAAAAUAGCAGGCUCGGGAGGAGAGAGGGCGAGCGCUCACACCUGCCCACGAAGGCGGCCGUCGGCGCUUUGAUGUGCUGAGCGGGAUGACAGAAGCCCGAGCUCCUUCCUGAAGUGCUCGCAGGGCUUAAUGGAGAACUCCAGGGCAGCCCCUGCGCCGGCAGGGGCACAUGGACCAUGGCCACCAGGCCCAGGAGCGGAGGGCGCGGCCCUUGGGGUGUGCUGGGGGAGGGAGGGUCGUGCUGGGUGUGUGCGCGUAGACAUGUGCUGAUCUGUGUGCCGGGGAGACUGCCUUGGCCACCCCCGCGCCUCGCCGGGCCCCCAGGCCUCAGUGGGCGGCGCGCUCCCAACUAGGCCCCGCGGGGUCCCGGUGCAUCCGGCCGGCUCCUCCGAAGCCUCCACCGCUGGCGCUCCAGGGAGAUGGCAACAGGGCCGGGUGGGUAUCCUAUAGGGACGGGAGCAAGACAGCGAGGAAGGAAGGGCAGAGGGUCCCUGUCGGGCGUCAGGCCCGAGCUAUUGUCUCCCCCGGGCGUUCCCAGACUCGGUCGGGGGUUCUGCGAGGCUCCCAGGGAAGGCCGGCCGCGGGAGGCCGCUGGGUAGGGGCACAGAGGCCGGCUUGCUUUGCUGGGCAGUUUUCACCCCCUCCAAGACAGUAAUGUAUCCAGAUUCCGAAGUUUUGGGAGCUUGUGCCUGCGCCCAGUGUUAUGAGGUGGGGCGAGAGCAGCCUUGAGGAAGGGUCAGGAGUCUCUUUCCUGUGUGCUUUUUUUUCUUCCUAGAGUACGGUUUCUCCAAGGCUGCUAAGCCUCAGAGUCCGGGUUCAAGUUGAGUGGAUCUGCCGGGAGAGGAGAAGAAGGGGAGCAGGGAGGGCAGCUGGCAGGCUGGGAGAGGAGCAGGCAGGCGGGGAAGGGAAGGGGCCAGUGCACCGAGGGGUGUGUGUGUGUGUGUGUGUGUGUGUGUGUGUGUGUGUGUGUGAUUGACAGCCGGUCCAAGGGAAUACAAAAAUAAGAGGGGAAGGCCGCCUGUAUUGGUUACUUGUUGAAAUUCCCAUAAAAUUGAACAAGACUCUGUUCUCAGUGGGUUAAGUCAGGCUAAAAUCCUCUCCGGUGUGGUCCUGCCGAGACUGUCUUUGUUUGGUUAACCUCUGAGACCCACAUUUAAAAGGCCUAUUUGGGAAAUUUCACCGUCCAGGGAACCAACAUCUUUUGCCCAUUUCUGGGCUUUCCUUCUCCCCGGGUGCUCCCGCUGCACACCGGCUCAGGAACACAUAAAGCAUGCAUCACCCUCCAAGCCACUGUCUCAUUGCUGUGGGAGGCCAGUGUGAGAGAGUAGCUUGGGGCCUUGCCUUUGACUGGCAGGCCCAUGGGAUUUUAAUCUGCAGCCCUAGGUGCUCCGAGCGAGGGGUUAAUGUAAGGGUUUAUCUCUGUUCUUCACAUUAACCUGGUCAAAUAUUCAAAUUCCCUCUUCCAUCCCUACCGUCCCCUCCCACCUUUCACCGCCUUCAGCAAGUCAAUAAUUUUUCAUAAUCUGCAACCAGAACAAUGUAAACCAGCCACACUACAAGUGGCAUCCACAGGGCAGGCGCAUUUCUCAGGGGAGUCCUAGCAGGGUCCUUCAGGUCCUGCCACCCAGGACCUGUAUCAUCAAUGUGGGUCCAUUGUUGGGCGGGGGGGGAGGCAGGGAAGGGGAGGAGUCUCCAACAGUUUGGUGACCCCCUCCACUGGCAAAUGUCCCUUUAGUGAAAGAUCCUGGGAUCCAGCUCUGUCCCUCCCACCCCCUCCUCUUAACACUUGCCCAGCUGCAAACAUCUCGCUGCAGACACCCCAACAUACAGAACAUAUCUGAUUCUGACAUUUACUUCGGGACAGAAGUACAGCAAAAUGAACGCAAGGAAAAAAAGGGACAAAAGGAACUAGACACAGCUUCCUGACCAAGUUCCCCAAAGGCCAGAUGCCUUCUCUCCAAGCUAAGUGAGACUCUGAACGGGAGACCUGCAGUCUCCUGCACAGGGAUCCCCAAAGAGCCCAGGAAGGCAGGGGACUUUACACCACGCUCACAGCAGCCAGACAAUUCUGAAGCUUCGGCUGCUGGCCAGGGAUACUGGGAGGACAGUAAGACCCUGAUCCCUGCUCCCACGAAUAAGAUGCCGGCUUUCCCCAGCAUCUGCUUUUCCCAGUGCCCUCAGACCUCCUAGCUUCGGGGUCCCUGUUUGUGGGAGUGGCAGUGGCCGCCAGCCCUGGAGGCCUAGAAGCGGUGCGCCCAGCUGGCUGGGCUGGAGCGUGCUGCGUUACCUGAGAGGUCCUCGCGAGCGUUCUGGUGCAAGUAGCUCUGCUCCAGCGAGUAGGAGGACAUGCUGGAGUGCAGGCCUGCCGAGGCGGCGGGGUUGCUGCUGGGCGUCAGGGCAGGCGGCUGCUUGAGGGCCUGCAGGCUCCCCGACAAUUGUUAGGGCGACUGGGGGCCGCCGCAGGGUUGCGGGCCGCUGGCGAUCGUGGACGUUUUCGGAACUUUGAGCAGAGGGAUUUACACUGAGAAACCUAGGCCAAGUUUCAAAGACUCUGGAAACCUGGAUCUCAUGGGACUUAGGGUUGCAUUUGCUUCCACUUCUUCCCCCCACCCCCGCACCCCAGUUAGUGUUCUGUAAGAAAAAAGUGCAAAAGAAAAAGGAAGGAAGGAAGAAAAGAAAGAAAGAGAAAGAAAAAGAAAGACCCUGAGAUAAGCGAGAUGGCUAUAUUUAUAGUCAGUCCUGAAGGGGUGUGCAGCUGUCACUAGGUUUACAUCCUCCGUCUUAACAUUGCCCACCCAAAACUGUGCCAGGUCUCAGCUAACUCCUGUCCGAGAACACUUCUCCCCAGUUGUGGCUAAUUCCUCCCUAAGUAAGAGUCAGGCUCUGAGAGAGAUGUGCCCUCGGGAGCAAUCACUUCCAAUGAGACCCGACAGUUAGUUAUUGGAUUACACGUGCAGGGAAAUGUAGUCCGACCAGGGAUAGGAGCUGGGAGAGGGAGGAGGAGAGCAGGAGGCCGGA
RNAcentral lists this long non-coding RNA (4383 nucleotides) under Homo sapiens (human). Its description in RNAcentral is "HSALNT0099539". The record is from RNAcentral. Lineage: Eukaryota; Metazoa; Chordata; Mammalia; Primates; Hominidae.